GACAGAGGUCCCGAGCGUUGUUCGGAUUUACUGGGCGUAAAGGGCGCGUAGGCGGCCGGGCCAGUCCGGCGUGAAAGCCCGCAGCUUAACUGCGGAAGGGCGUCGGAUACUACCCGGCUUUGAGGGUUGGAGAGGGGACUGGAAUUCCCGGUGUAGCAGUGAAAUGCGUAGAUAUCGGAAGGAACAUCAGUGGCGAAGGCGGCUUCCUGGACCAAUACUGACGCUCAGGUGCGAAAGCGUGGGGAGCAAA
Molecule: ribosomal RNA, 250 nt
Filed under: uncultured bacterium
Lineage: Bacteria
Description: partial 16S ribosomal RNA
Rfam family: Bacterial small subunit ribosomal RNA
Source: RNAcentral